GAUCUUGGGUUUAAUGGGGCUCCCUACAGGAGCACCUGGCUCCUUCAGCCUACUAGUAGUGCUCUGGUAAAUGCUACAGAGUGGCCACCCUUUGUGGUGACACUGGAUGAAGUGGAGCUGAUCCAUUUUGAGAGGGCUCAAUUUCACCUGAAGAACUCUGAAAUGGUGAUUGUCUACAAAGAUUACAGCAAGUCAUAAUGAUCAAUGCUAUUCCUGUUGCCUCUCUAGACCCCAUCAAGGAGUGGCUAAAUUCCUGUGACCUAAAGUACACAGGAGGAGUUCAGUCCCUCAACUGGACUAAAAUUAUGAAGACCAUUGUUGAUGACCCCGAGGGCUUCUUUGAAGAAGGUGGCUGGUCUUUCCUGGAACCUGAGGGUGAGGGGAGUGAUGCUGAGGAUGGAGAUUCUGAGUCUGAAAUUGAAGAUGAGACUUUCAAUCCUUCUGAGGAUGACUAUGAAGAGGAAGAAGAGGACAGUGAUGAAGAUUAUUCAUCAGAAGCUGAAGAAUCAGACUAUUCUAAGGAAUCUCUGGGAAGUGAAGACGAAAGUGGGAAGGACUGGGAUGAGCUAGAAGAAGAAGCGACGAAAAGCAGACCGUGAAAGCCAUUACGAGGAGGAAGAACAGAGCCGAAGUAUGAGCCGGAAGAGGAAGGCAUCUGUACAUAGUUCAGGCCGUGG
Mastomys coucha (southern multimammate mouse) is the source of this 677-nucleotide RNA transcript. It is a transcript of the gene named FACT complex subunit SPT16 pseudogene, with no coding region annotated. The transcript has a single exon. Lineage: Eukaryota; Metazoa; Chordata; Mammalia; Rodentia; Muridae. The record is from RefSeq and is a predicted model, not a curated record.